UUUAUUUAACAGAUUAGAAGAGUGAAGAUAUAGAGAAGAGUGGAGGUUCGAACAAAUGGUACUACUCAAGUGUAAUGAAUGAGGGUCAAGGGGUGCCAAAUUAUCUAGAAAAAGGGUUGACGGAGGAUAGAAAGAGAUAGAGAGAGAGAGAGAGAGAGAGAGAGAGAGAAAGAAAGAGAGAGAGAAG
This is a long non-coding RNA of Vespa mandarinia (Asian giant hornet), 187 nucleotides long. NCBI's taxonomy places the organism in Eukaryota, Metazoa, Arthropoda, Insecta, Hymenoptera, Vespidae. The record is from RefSeq and is a predicted model, not a curated record.